GAUCCUGGCUCAGGAUGAACGCUGGCGGCGUGCUUAACACAUGCAAGUCGAACGAAGCACUUUAUUUGAUUUCCUUCGGGACUGAUUAUUUUGUGACUGAGUGGCGGACGGGUGAGUAACGCGUGGGUAACCUGCCUUGUACAGGGGGAGUAACAGUUGGAAACGGACUGCUAAUACCGCAUAAGCGCACGGCAUCGCAUGAUGCAGUGUGAAAAACUCCGGUGGUAUAAGAUGGACCCGCGUUGG
RNAcentral lists this ribosomal RNA (246 nucleotides) under uncultured bacterium. RNAcentral's name for it is "partial 16S ribosomal RNA". It matches the Rfam family "Bacterial small subunit ribosomal RNA", at positions 15 to 239 of the family's 1533-position model. The record is from RNAcentral.